This 230-nucleotide unclassified non-coding RNA is filed under the name Hevea brasiliensis (rubber tree). The record is from RNAcentral. Lineage: Eukaryota; Viridiplantae; Streptophyta; Magnoliopsida; Malpighiales; Euphorbiaceae.
GGUAUCCAUAAUUCUGGUUCACCCGGCUUGAUACAUGGAAAUGCAGUUGCUUUGAACAGGCAACUCAUUGAAAAAGGACUGAAACAAUUUAGCGCAUUUUCUCAAUAUGCGUAUGAAUGUACCCCGCUUGAUGUGAAACUGGAUGCGAUUGGAGACGCUGGUAGCUUUUUAAUUCAUGAUUUUCAUGAAAAGGAGCGAAUUAGCGCUGCUGUUAAAACGAACUUGGCAAG